This 692-nucleotide non-coding RNA is filed under the name Pelodiscus sinensis (Chinese soft-shelled turtle). RNAcentral describes it as "Eukaryotic small subunit ribosomal RNA". It matches the Rfam family "Eukaryotic small subunit ribosomal RNA", at positions 1117 to 1823 of the family's 1831-position model. The record is from Rfam by way of RNAcentral. Lineage: Eukaryota; Metazoa; Chordata; Testudines; Trionychidae.
GGAGGAGUAUGGUUGCAAAGCUGAAACUUAAAGGAAUUGACGGAAGGGCACCACCAGGAGUGGAGCCUGGGACUUAAUUUGACGCAACAUGGGAAACCUCACCUGGCCCGGACACGGAAAGGAUUGACAGAUCGAUAGCGCUUUCUUGAUUCUGUGGGUAGUGGUGCAUGGCCCUUUUUAGUUGGUGGAGCGAUUUGUCUGGUUAAUUCUGAUAACGAACGAGACUCUGGCAUGCUAAUUAGGUAUGCGACCCCAAGCAGUCGGCGUCCUACUUCUUAGAGGGACAAGUGGCAUUCAGCCAUCUGAGAUUGAGCAAUAACAGGUCUGUGAUGCCCUUAGAUAUCUGGGGCUGCAUGCGCGCUACACUGACUGGCUCAGUGUGUGUCUACCCUAUGCCAACAACUGCGGGUAACCCGUUGAACCCCAUUUGUAAUGGGGACUAGGGAUUGCAAUUAUUCCCCAUGAAUGAGGAAUUCCCAGUAAGUGUGGGUCAUAAGCAUGUGUUGAUUAAGUCCCUGCCCUUUUCACACACCGCCCGUCACUACUACUGAUUGGAUGGUUUAGUGAGGUCCUCGGAUCGGCUCUGCCAGGGUCAAUCGCAGCCCUGGUGGAGUGCUGAGAAGACGGUUGAACUUGACUAUCUAGAGGAAUUAAAAGUUGCAAUAAUUUUUCCGUAUAUGAACCUGCGGAAG